CCUACGGGAGGCAGCAGUGAGGAAUAUUGGUCAAUGGGCGCAAGCCUGAACCAGCCAAGUCGCGUGAGGGAAGACGGCCCUACGGGUUGUAAACCUCUUUUGCCGGGGAGCAAGCCUGAGCACGUGUGCCCAGGCGGAGAGUACCCGGAGAAAAAGCAUCGGCUAACUCCGUGCCAGCAGCCGCGGUAAUACGGAGGAUGCGAGCGUUAUCCGGAUUUAUUGGGUUUAAAGGGUGCGUAGGCGGAAUAUCAAGUCAGCGGUAAAAAUUCGGGGCUCAACCCCGUCGUGCCGUUGAAACUGAUGUUCUUGAGUGGGCGAGAAGUAUGCGGAAUGCGUGGUGUAGCGGUGAAAUGCAUAGAUAUCACGCAGAACUCCGAUUGCGAAGGCAGCAUACCGGCGCCCAACUGACGCUGAAGCACGAAAGCGUGGGUAUCGAACAGGAUUAGAUACCCCUGUAGUC
Molecule: ribosomal RNA, 460 nt
Filed under: uncultured bacterium
Lineage: Bacteria
Description: partial 16S ribosomal RNA
Rfam family: Bacterial small subunit ribosomal RNA
Source: RNAcentral